Manis pentadactyla (Chinese pangolin) is the source of this 5584-nucleotide long non-coding RNA. RefSeq lists it as uncharacterized. The transcript is spliced from 3 exons. The record is from RefSeq and is a predicted model, not a curated record. Lineage: Eukaryota; Metazoa; Chordata; Mammalia; Pholidota; Manidae.
CUAGGAAUAAGCCUUACCAAGGAACUGAAAGAACUAUACUGUGAAAACCACAAAACACUCAUAAGAGAAAUUAAGGAAGAUACCAAUAAAUGGAAACACAUUCCAUGCUCAUGGAUAGGAACAAUUUAUAUUGUCAAAACAGCCAUCUUGCAUAAAGCAAUCUACAGGUUCAAUGCAAUCCCUAUCAAAAUACCAACAGUAUUCUUCAACGAACUAAGCAAAUAGUUCUAAAAUUCAUUUGGAACAACAAAAGACCCCAACUAGCCAAAGCAAUCUUGAGAUGGAAGAAUAAAGUUGGGGGGAAUAUGCUCCCCAACUUCAAGCUCUACUACAAAGCCACAGUAAUCAAGACAAUUUGGUACUGGCACAAGAAGAGACCCACAGACCAAUGGAACAAACAGUCUAGAGAGCCCAGAUAUAUACCCACACAUCUAUGGUCAAUUAAUACAUGAUAAAGGAGCCAUGGAUAUACAAUGGGGAAAUGACAGUUUCUUCAACAACUGGUGUUGGCAAAACUGGACAGCUACAUGUAAGAGAAUGAAACUGGAUUAUUGGCUAUCCCCUUACACAAAAGUAAACUCAAAAUGGAUGAAAGACCUAAAUGUAAGUCAUGAAACAAUAAAACUCCUAUAAGAAAACAUAGGCAAAAAUCUCCUGAACAUAAACAUGUGCAACUUUUUCCUGAACACAUCUCCUUGGGCAAGGGAAACAAACAAAAAAAAUGAACAAAUGGGACUACAUCAUGCUAAAAAGCUUCUGUACAGCAAAGGACACCAUCAGUAGAACAAAAAGGCAUUGUACAGUAUGGGAGAAUAUAUUUGUAAAUGACAUAUCCAACAAGGGGUUAAUAUCCAAAAUAUAUAAAGAACUCACACGCCUCAACACCCAAAAAGCAAAUAACCCUAUUAAAAAAUGGGUGGAGGAUAUGAACAGACACUUCUCCAAAGAAGAAAUUCAGAUGGCCAACAGGCACAUGAAAUGAUGGUCCACAUUGCUAAUUAUUAGGGAAAUACAAAUUAAAACCACAAUGAGAUAUCACCUCACACCAGUUGGGAUGGCCAACAUAGAAAAGACUAGGAACAACAAAUGCUAGUGAGGAUGUGGAGAAAGGGGAACCCUCCUACACUGCUGGUGGCAAUGAAAGUUAGUUCAACCAUUGUGGAAAGCAAUAUGGAGGUUCCUCAAAAAACCAGAAAUAGAAAUACUAUUUGACCAAGGAAUUCCACUCCUAGGAAUUUACUCUAAGAAUGUAGGACCCCAGUUUCAAAAAGACAUAUGCACCUCUAUUUAUAUCGCAACAUUAUUUAUAAUAGCCAAGAAAUGGAAGCAACCUAAGUGUCCAUCAGUAGAUUAGUGGAUAAAGAAGAUGUGGUACAUAUACACAAUGGAAUAUUAUUCAGCCAUAAGAAGAAAACAAAUCCUACCAUUUGCAACAGCAUCAAUGGAGCUAGAGGGUAUUAUACUCAAUGAAAUAAGCCAGGUGGAGAAAGACAAGUACCAAAUGACUUCACUCAUCUGUGGAGCAUAAGAACAAAGCAAACACUGAAGGAACAAAACAGAAGUAGACUCACAGAAACCAAGAAUGGACUAACAGUUACCAAAGGGAAAGGGACUGGGGAGUGUGGGUGGGAAGGGAUGGAGAAGGAGAAUAAGGGGCAUUACGAUUAGCACACAUAAUGUAGGGGGAGUAGCACGGUGUAGGCAGUAUAGAACAGAGAAGACAAGUAGUAACUCUAUAGCAUCUUACUAUGCUGAUGGACAAUAAUGGGGUAUGUGGUGGGGACUUGAUAAUGGGGGGAAUCUAGUAACCAAAAUGUUGCUCAUGUGAAUUUAUAUUAAUGAUACCAAAAUAUAAAAAAGUUAAAAAAAAUACAUAAAAAAGGUCAUCCAUCAUGAUCAAGUGGGAUUUAUUCCAGGGAUACAAGGGUGGUACAAUAUUUGAAAUUCCACCAACAUCAACGAAAAGAAGGACAAAUACUGUAUGAUCAUCUCCAUAGAUGCUGAAAAAGCAUUUAACAAACUUCAACAUCCAUUCAUGAUGAAAACUCUCAACAUAAAGAUGAUGAUAAAAAUGCGUAAAGAGGGCAAGUAUCUCAACAUAAUUAAGGCCAUAUAUGACAAACUCAUAGCAACAUCAUACUUAACAGUGAGAAGAUGAAAGCUGUUCCUUUAAGAAAGGGAAGAAAACAAGGAUGCCCACCUCCCUACUUUUAUUCAACAUAGUUCUGGAGGUCCUAGCCACAGCAAUCAGACAACAUAAAGAAAUGAAAGGCAUCCAGAUUGGUAAGGAAGAAGUUAAACUGCCACUGUGUACAGAUGACAUGAUAUUGUACAUAAAACACCCUAAAGAAUCCACCCCAAAUCUACUAGAAAUAGCUGAAUUCAGCAAAGUUGCAGAUACAUAAUCAAUACACAGAAAUCUGUUGCAUUCCUAUAUACCAAUGAUGAACUAGCAGAAAGAGAAAUCAGGAAAACUAUUCCAUUCACAGCUGCAUCAAAAAGAAUAAAAUAACUAGGAAUAAACCCAACUGAGGAUGUGAAAGACCUAUAUCCUGAAAACUACAAGACACACAUGAGAGAAAUUAAAGAGGACAGUAAUAAAUGGAAAUUCAUCCCAUGCUCUUGGGUCGGAAGAAUUAAUAUUGUCAAAAUGGAUAUCCUGUCUAAAGCUAUCUACAGAUUCAAUGCAAUCCUUAUCAAAAUACCAAUGGCAUUCUUCAACAAACUAGAGAAAAUAGUUCUAAAAUUCAUAUGGAACCACAAACGGCCCUGAAUAACCAAAGCAAUCCUAAGAAAGAAGAAAAAAGCUGGGGGGAUUAUGCUCCCCAACUUCAAGCUCUACUAAAAAAGCCACAGUAAUCAAGACAAUUUAGUACUGGCACAAGAACAGACCCAUAGACCAAUGGAACAGAAUAGAGAGCCCAUAUAUAAACCCAUGCAUAUAUGGUCAAUUAAUAUACAAUAGGAGCCAUGGAUAUACAAUGGGGAAAUGACAGUCUCUUCAACAACUAGUGUUGGCAAAACUGGACAGCUACAUGCAAGAGAAUGAAACUGGAUUAUUGCCAAACCCCACACACAAAAGUAAACUCAAAAUGGAUGAAAGACCUGAAUGUAAGUCAUGAAGCCAUAAAACUCUUAGAAGAAAACAUAGGCAAAAAUAUCCUGAAUAUAAACAUGAGCAACUUUUCCCUGAACAUAUCUCCUUGGGCAAGGGAAACAAAAGCAAAAAUGAAUGACAUCAAACUAAAAAGCUUCUGUACAGCAAAGGACACCAUCAGUAGAACAAACAGGCAUCUUACAGUAUGGGAGUAUAUAUUCACAAAUGACAUAUCCAAGAAGGGGUUAGCAUCCAAAAUAUACAAAGAACUCACCGCCUCAAAACUCAAAAAGCAAAUAAUAUGACUAAAAAAUGGGUGGAGGAUGUGAACAAACACUUCUCCAAAAAAUAAAUUCAGUUGGCCAACAGGCACAUGAAAAGAUGCUCUACAUUGCUGAUUAUCAGGGAAAUGCUAAUUAAAACCACAAUGAGAAGUCACACAUCGAAAAGACAAGAAACAACAAAUGCUGGCAAGGAUGGAGAGAAAGGAGAACCCUUGUACACUGCUGGUGGGAAUGUAAAUUAGUUCAACCAUUGUGGAAAGCUAUGGAGGUCCCUCAAAAAACAAAAAAUGGAAAUUACAUUGACACAGGAAUUCCACUCCUAGGAAUUUACCCAAAGGAAACAAGAUCUCUGAUUCAAAAAGAGAUAGCAUCCCUAUGUUUAUCACAGCACCAUUUACAAUAGCCAAGAUAUGGAAGCAACCUAAGUGUCCAUCAGUAGAUGAAUGGAUAAAGAAGAUGCGGUACAUAUCCUAAAGAAAAGUACCAAAUGAUUUCCCUCAUUUGUGGAGUAUAACAACAAAGCAAAACUGAAGGAACAAAACAACAGCAGACUCACAGACUCCAAGAAGGGACUAGCGGUUACCAAAGGGGAGGUGUGGGGGUAUGUGGUAAGGGAGGGAGGUGGGGAUUGAUGGGUAUUAUGAUUAGGUACACAUGGAGUGUGUGUGGGGUCACAGAGAAGACAGUGUAGCACAGAGAAGACAAGUAGUGACUCUGUGGUAUCUUACUACGCUGAUGGACAGUGACUUCAAUGGGGUAUGGUGGGGACUUGAUAAUGUGGGUGAAUGUAGUAACCACAGUUUUUAUGUGAAAUCUUCAUAAGACUGUAUGUCAGUGAUACCUUAAUAAAAAAAAUUUUGUUGUGGUAUCCCCUAAACUGGGUUGUGUUUCAUUUCCAUUUUUCUCCUUUUUAUCUGCUUAUGAACCUAAAACUCUCUCCUGGAACUAUCAACUUACCAAUUUCUAAACAAAGUGUGUUGGUAUUAUAUAGAAUUAUUUUUUUCACUAAAAUAUGGUAACAAACCCAUUUCACAGCAUCUUUUCAUUUAAAGGAAUGUGUCAAAACCAGAUUACUUUUGCCACAAUUUAUAUGAUAGGUUAAAGAAGUAAUCCUACAAAUAUGCUAAUCACAUGCUGGAUUAUUGUACUGACUUCAUGUCAGAAAAAAAGAUUAAAAAAGUGCUGAUUUUCAUAUAAUUACUCUUACUAGAGAGUAUUAAUAGAGCUUAUGAUAUAAAAUAACAUUACACAUUUGGACUGUUUCCAGUUUUUGAGUAUUUUUAUAAAAGAAGCUGCUAUGAGCAUUCAUGUCAGGAAUUUGUGUGAACACACGUUUUCAUUUCUCUGGGAUAAAAUCAAGAACGCAAUUGCUGGGUCAUAUGCUAAAUCAUUUUUAGCUUUAUAAGGAACUGCCAACCUAUUUUUUUUUCUAUUUGUCUGAGAAAGUCUUUAUUUCUCCUUCACUUUUUUUUUUGAGAGGGCAUCUCUCAUAUUUAUUGAUCAAAUGGUUGUUAACAACAAUAAAAUUCUGUAUAGGGGACUCAAUGCACAAUCAUUAAUCAACCCCAAGCCUAAUUCUCAACAGUCUCCAAUCUUCUGAAGCAUAACGAACAAGUUCUUACAUGGUGAACAAGUUCUUACAUGGUGAACAAUGCAAGGGCAGUCACAUCACAGAAACUUUCGGUUUUGAUCACGCAUCAUGAACUAUAAACAAUCAAGUCAGAUAUGAUUAUUCAUUUGAUUUUUAUACUUGAUUUAUAUGUGAAUCCCACAUUUCUCCCUUAUUUAUUAAUUUUUUUAAAAAAAUAAAAUGCUGCAGUGGUAGGUAGAUGCAAGAUAAAGGUAGAAAACAUAAUUUAGUGCUGUAAGAGGGCAAAUGUAGAUGAUCAGAUGAUCAGGUGUGUGCCUGUAGACUAUGUGUUAAUCCAAGCUAGACAAGGGCAAUAAAACAUCCACGGAUGCAGAAGAUUUCUCUCAGAACAGGGGGGGUGAGGUUCUAAGCCUCACCUCUGUUGAACACCAAUUUCUCACCUGAUGACCCCCCUGCGACUGUGCCUGUCUUAGGUUGUUCCUCCCUUGAGGAAUCUUACCCGUCUCUGGCUAACCAGUCAUCUUCCGGGGCCAUACAGGGAAAUGUAAAGUUGGUAAGUGAGAGAGAAGCCUUAUUGUUUGAAAUGGUUAGCUUUUUAUUUCUUUGCAUAUU